AUGGUUAAGUUAGAAAGGGCGCACGGUGAAUGCCUUGGCACUAGGAGCCGAUGAAGGACGGGACUAACACCGAUAUGCUUCGGGGAGCUGUAAGUGAGCUUUGAUCCGGAGAUUUCCGAAUGGGGAAACCCACUGUUCGUAAUGGAACAGUAUCUUUAUCUGAAUACAUAGGAUAUUGAAGGCAGACCCGGGGAACUGAAACAUCUAAGUACCCGGAGGAAGAGAAAGCAAAUGCGAUUUCCUGAGUAGCGGCGAGCGAAACGGAAUUAGCCCAAACCAAGAGGCUUGCCUCUUGGGGUUGUAGGACACUCUAUACGGAGUUACAAAGGAACGAAGUAAAUGAAGCGACCUGGAAAGGUCCGUCGAAGAAGGUAACAACCCUGUAGUUGAAACUUCGUUCCCUCUUGAGUGGAUCCUGAGUACGGCGGAACACGUGAAAUUCCGUCGGAAGCUGGGAGGACCAUCUCCCAAGGCUAAAUACUACCUAGUGACCGAUAGUGAACCAGUACCGUGAGGGAAAGGUGAAAAGCACCCCGGAAGGGGAGUGAAAGAGAUCCUGAAACCGUGUGCCUACAAGUAGUCAGAGCCCGUUAACGGGUGAUGGCGUGCCUUUUGUAGAAUGAACCGGCGAGUUACGAUCCCAUGCAAGGUUAAGCUGAUAAGGCGGAGCCGUAGCGAAAGCGAGUCUGAAUAGGGCGUUUAGUAUGUGGUUGUAGACCCGAAACCAGGUGAUCUACCCAUGUCCAGGGUGAAGUUCAGGUAACACUGAAUGGAGGCCCGAACCCACGCACGUUGAAAAGUGCGGGGAUGAGGUGUGGGUAGCGGAGAAAUUCCAAUCGAACCUGGAGAUAGCUGGUUCUCUCCGAAAUAGCUUUAGGGCUAGCCUCAUGUUGUGAGAGUCUUGGAGGUAGAGCACUGAUUGGACUAGGGGCCCCCAACGGGUUACCGAAUUCAGUCAAACUCCGAAUGCCAAAGACUUAUCCAUGGGAGUCAGACUGCGAGUGAUAAGAUCCGUAGUCAAAAGGGAAACAGCCCAGACCACCAGCUAAGGUCCCCAAGUAUACGUUAAGUGGAAAAGGAUGUGGAGUUGCUUAGACAACCAGGAUGUUGGCUUAGAAGCAGCCACCAUUUAAAGAGUGCGUAAUAGCUCACUGGUCGAGUGACUCUGCGCCGAAAAUGUACCGGGGCUAAACGUAUCACCGAAGCUGUGGAUUGACAUCUUAGAUGUCAGUGGUAGGAGAGCGUUCUAAGUGCUGUGAAGUCAGACCGUAAGGACUGGUGGAGCGCUUAGAAGUGAGAAUGCCGGUAUGAGUAGCGAAAGACAAGUGAGAAUCUUGUCCACCGAAUGCCUAAGGUUUCCUGAGGAAGGCUCGUCCGCUCAGGGUUAGUCGGGACCUAAGCCGAGGCUGAAAAGCGUAGGCGAUGGCCAACAGGUUGAUAUUCCUGUACCACCUCCCCGCCGUUUGAGUAAUGGGGGGACGCAGUAGGAUAGGGUAAGCGCGCUGCUGGAUAUGCGCGUUCAAGCAGUUAGGCUGAUGAGUAGGCAAAUCCGCUCAUCAUAAAGGCUGAGCUGUGAUGACGAGGGAAUUAUAGUACCGAAGUUCCUGAUUCCACACUGCCAAGAAAAGCCUCUAGCGAGGCGGGAGGUGCCCGUACCGCAAACCGACACAGGUAGGCGAGGAGAGAAUCCUAAGGUGAUCGAGAGAACUCUCGUUAAGGAACUCGGCAAAAUGACCCCGUAACUUCGGGAGAAGGGGUGCUCUGGUAGGGUGUAUAGCCCGAGAGAGCCGCAGUGAAUAGGCCCAGGCGACUGUUUAGCAAAAACACAGGUCUCUGCGAAGCCGCAAGGCGAAGUAUAGGGGCUGACGCCUGCCCGGUGCUGGAAGGUUAAGAGGAGGGGUUAUCCUUUGGGAGAAGCUCUGAAUCGAAGCCCCAGUAAACGGCGGCCGUAACUAUAACGGUCCUAAGGUAGCGAAAUUCCUUGUCGGGUAAGUUCCGACCCGCACGAAAGGCGUAACGAUCUGGGCACUGUCUCAACGAGAGACUCGGUGAAAUUAUAGUACCUGUGAAGAUGCAGGUUACCCGCGACAGGACGGAAAGACCCCGUGGAGCUUUACUGUAGCCUGAUAUUGAAUUUUGGUACAGCUUGUACAGGAUAGGUAGGAGCCUGAGAAGCCGGAGCGCUAGCUUCGGUGGAGGCGUCGGUGGGAUACUACCCUGGCUGUAUUGAAAUUCUAACCCGCGGCCCUGAUCGGGCCGGGAGACAGUGUCAGGUGGGCAGUUUGACUGGGGCGGUCGCCUCCUAAAAUGUAACGGAGGCGCCCAAAGGUUCCCUCAGAAUGGUUGGAAAUCAUUCGUAGAGUGUAAAGGCACAAGGGAGCUUGACUGCGAGACCUACAAGUCGAGCAGGGACGAAAGUCGGGCUUAGUGAUCCGGUGGUUCCGCAUGGAAGGGCCAUCGCUCAACGGAUAAAAGCUACCCCGGGGAUAACAGGCUUAUCUCCCCCAAGAGUCCACAUCGACGGGGAGGUUUGGCACCUCGAUGUCGGCUCAUCGCAUCCUGGGGCUGUAGUCGGUCCCAAGGGUUGGGCUGUUCGCCCAUUAAAGCGGUACGCGAGCUGGGUUCAGAACGUCGUGAGACAGUUCGGUCCCUAUCCGUCGUGGGCGUAGGAAAUUUGAGAGGAGCUGUCCUUAGUACGAGAGGACCGGGAUGGACACACCGCUGGUGUACCAGUUGUCUUGCCAAAGGCAUCGCUGGGUAGCUAUGUGUGGACGGGAUAAGUGCUGAAAGCAUCUAAGCAUGAAGCCCCCCUCAAGAUGAGAUUUCCCAUAGCGCAAGCUAGUAAGAUCCCUGAAAGAUGAUCAGGUUGAUAGGUCAGAGGUGGAAGCGUGGCGACAUGUGUAGCUGACUGAUACUAAUCGAUCGAGGACUUAACCAA
This 2938-nucleotide ribosomal RNA is filed under the name Priestia megaterium. Its description in RNAcentral is "bacterial LSU rRNA". It matches the Rfam family "Bacterial large subunit ribosomal RNA". Lineage: Bacteria; Bacillati; Bacillota; Bacilli; Caryophanales; Bacillaceae. The record is from RNAcentral.